Coccinella septempunctata (seven-spotted ladybird) is the source of this 314-nucleotide long non-coding RNA. RefSeq lists it as uncharacterized. The record is from RefSeq and is a predicted model, not a curated record. Lineage: Eukaryota; Metazoa; Arthropoda; Insecta; Coleoptera; Coccinellidae. The transcript has 3 exons.
CUAGAGACUGCUAUCAGGAAAGCAGGAGAUGCGGAAUAUACCUCUAAUGAUGAGGAGAAAGGAAGAGGCAAAAGAAAGAAAAAAUUUCGCCAGCCUUCCACUAGCCCAUCUACAGAUGAUAGAGAAGGCAGUAUUUCGCCUCCACCCAAAUUGGAUAUUGAGCAGGCUGAAAUCUUAUGGGAGCAGCCAUGUGAGGAAUUAUCGGAAGCACUGAAUCUAGAUGUUGACAUCAACUCAGUGGUAACACCUUUUGCAAAAGGAGAAGAUGUCAUCUCAGAAGGUAAUUUUUUUUUCAUAGAAUGAAGAAAGUUAUU